RNAcentral lists this ribosomal RNA (653 nucleotides) under uncultured bacterium. RNAcentral's name for it is "bacterial SSU rRNA". It matches the Rfam family "Bacterial small subunit ribosomal RNA", at positions 202 to 842 of the family's 1533-position model. The record is from RNAcentral.
AAAAGGUGGCUAUGCUACCGCUUUUGGAUGGGCCCGCGGCGCAUUAGCUAGUUGGUGGGGUAAAGGCUUACCAAGGCAAUGAUGCGUAGCCGAACUGAGAGGUUGAUCGGCCACAUUGGGACUGAGACACGGCCCAAACUCCUACGGGAGGCAGCAGUAGGGAAUCUUCCACGAUGGGCGAAAGCCUGAUGGAGCAACGCCGCGUGGGUGAAGAAGGUCUUCGGAUCGUAAAACCCUGUUGUUAGAGAAGAAAGUGCGUGAGAGUAACUGUUCACGUUUCGACGGUAUCUAACCAGAAAGCCACGGCUAACUACGUGCCAGCAGCCGCGGUAAUACGUAGGUGGCAAGCGUUAUCCGGAUUUAUUGGGCGUAAAGGGAACGCAGGCGGUCUUUUAAGUCUGAUGUGAAAGCCUUCGGCUUAACCGGAGUAGUGCAUUGGAAACUGGGAGACUUGAGUGCAGAAGAGGAGAGUGGAACUCCAUGUGUAGCGGUGAAAUGCGUAGAUAUAUGGAAGAACACCAGUGGCGAAAGCGGCUCUCUGGUCUGUAACUGACGCUGAGGUUCGAAAGCGUGGGUAGCAAACAGGAUUAGAUACCCUGGUAGUCCACGCCGUAAACGAUGAAUGCUAAGUGUUGGAGGGUUUCCGCCCUUCA